AGAGAGAGACAUGCGCGCAUAUCAAUAAGCGGAGGAAAAGAAACUAACAAGGAUUCCCUUAGUAACGGCGAGUGAAGCGGGAAGAGCUCAAAUUUGAAUCUUCAAGGUUUUACCUUGACGAAUUGUCAGUUUAAAGAAGUGUUUUCUGCUGAAGUUUUGGUAAAAGUUCUUUGGAAUAGGACAUCAUAGAGGGUGAGAAUCCCGUAUUUGACCAUUAUUUUCAGCUUUGUGAUACACUUUCAAAGAGUCGGAUUGUUUGGGAAUGCAGUCCAAAAUGGGUGGUAAAUUUCAUCUAAAGCUAAAUAUUGGCGAGAGACCGAUAGCGAACAAGUACCGUGAGGGAAAGAUGAAAAGAACUUUGAAAAGAGAGUUAAACAGUACGUGAAAUUGUCAAAAGGGAAGCGUUUGACACCAGUGUUGUUUUCUCGAAAAUCAAUUAAAAAUGGCUCGAUUUUGUAUUGUUGAGACCUUAAAAGCUCACUGUACAUUUUUCGUGUCUUUUUUAAUGCACUUUUCGUUUCAACAAGUCAACAUCAGUUUCUUUUGUUGUAAAAGGGUCAUUGGAAGGUGGCUUUCUUUUCGGAGAAAGUGUUUAUAGCCUUUGGCCUCUGCAAUCGGAGAGACUGAGGUCUGCAGCGUAGACUCUUCGGGGUUAGAUACAUUUGUGCUAAGUUAUAGCUUUUUAUAGACAACUUGUUGACUAUAAUUAGUCUUGUAGCUUACUCGCUUAUGCUAUUUUACCUACGCUUAGGAUGUUGAAGUCAUCGUAUCGCGC
This 775-nucleotide ribosomal RNA is filed under the name uncultured Neocallimastigales. Its description in RNAcentral is "partial large subunit ribosomal RNA". It matches the Rfam family "Eukaryotic large subunit ribosomal RNA", at positions 23 to 645 of the family's 3401-position model. Lineage: Eukaryota; Fungi; Neocallimastigomycota; Neocallimastigomycetes; Neocallimastigales. The record is from RNAcentral.